This is a non-coding RNA of Acanthosepion pharaonis, 99 nucleotides long. NCBI's taxonomy places the organism in Eukaryota, Metazoa, Mollusca, Cephalopoda, Sepiida, Sepiidae. The record is from the annotation of a GenBank genome assembly.
CGUUGAAACACCAGUUCCUGUAUGAUCACUGAAGUUAAGCAAUGCCAAACCUGGUCAGUAUCUAGAUGGGUGACUACAUGGAAAAACCAGGUGCUGUGA